CUACGGGGUGCAGCAGUGGGGAAUAUUGGACAAUGGGGGAAACCCUGAUCCAGCAAUGCCGCGUGUGUGAAGAAGACCUGCGGGUUGUAAAGCACUUUCGGUUGGGAGGACUGCUUCUAGCACUAAUAUUGUUGGAAGUUGACGUUACCUUCAGAAGAAGCACCGGCAUAACUCCGUGCCAGCAGCCGCGGUAAUACGGUGGGUGCAAGCGUUAAUCGGAAUUACUGGGCGUAAAGCGCGCGUAGGCGGCUAGAUCAGUCGGGUGUGAAAGCCCCGGGCUUAACCUGGGAACUGCAUCCGAUACUGUCUAGCUUGAGUACAGGAGAGGAGAGUGGAAUUCCACAUGUAGCGGUGAAAUGCGUAGAUAUGUGGAGGAACACCAAUGGCGAAGGCAGCUCUCUGGCCUGAUACUGACGCUGAGGUGCGAAAGCGUGGGGAGCAAACAGGAUUAGAUACCCCAGUAGUC
Molecule: ribosomal RNA, 466 nt
Filed under: uncultured bacterium
Lineage: Bacteria
Description: partial 16S ribosomal RNA
Rfam family: Bacterial small subunit ribosomal RNA
Source: RNAcentral